This 412-nucleotide long non-coding RNA is filed under the name Helianthus annuus (common sunflower). Its description in RNAcentral is "sRNA HanXRQr2_Chr01g0031221". Lineage: Eukaryota; Viridiplantae; Streptophyta; Magnoliopsida; Asterales; Asteraceae. The record is from RNAcentral.
UACACCAAAUAUCCCAAAGAGAGCAGCAGCCUUUGAUUGGCUUUUGACGCACAUAAACGCCAAAACUUUUAUAUCUUCCAAAACCUUGGACACGGAGAUCUGCUUAUCUUGCGUUGCGCAAGCGUUUGGUAUUUUUGUCUUGGCAGUGGGAUGGGGGUUUUAUAUUUGCAUUCACAAUACAUCAGUUGUUAGAAAAAUGUUGGUUCCUGGUUCUUGUUGAUAAAUAGGUGUUUGAUGUUCUAGCUGCUGCCAUGGUUCUCGCCUUUCUUGGAUGGGGGAGUUUUAUCAUCUGCAGGUAAUGCAUAAUAAGUGUGUUUUGAAAUGUUUGUUAUCUACCUACAAAAAUUUAAGGUGGAAAUAACAUUCAAUAUACUUACAGGAACAUGUGGGUCUCAGGCAUGAGAAGUUAAAA